RNAcentral lists this ribosomal RNA (395 nucleotides) under Opisa takafuminakanoi. Its description in RNAcentral is "partial 16S ribosomal RNA". It matches the Rfam family "Archaeal large subunit ribosomal RNA", at positions 2033 to 2666 of the family's 2987-position model. Lineage: Eukaryota; Metazoa; Arthropoda; Malacostraca; Amphipoda; Opisidae. The record is from RNAcentral.
GUAGCAUAAUCAUUUGUUUUUUAAUUGAAAACUGGAAUGAAAGGUUAAACAAAGGUGAGUGUCUAAAAAUAUGAUAGUAAUUUGUAUUUAAAGUAAAAAUACUUUAAUAAUUGUAAGGGACGAUAAGACCCUAAAAGCUUUAUUUAAGUUAGGUUGUUAGAGGUAUUAAGUAAAUAAAUUUAGCUGGGGUAGCAGCUUUAACUAGCCUGCAGAUAAGUUAACUUUAAAUUAGGUCCUUUUUAUAAAGAUAGUUUGAGGUAGUUACUUUAGGGAUAACAGCGUCAUGGUUCUAGGGAGACCCUAUCUAUAGACCCGAUUGCGACCUCGAUGUUGAAUUAAAAUAUCUUUUUAGAGUAUAAACUAAUUAAGAGGGUUUGUUCAACCCUUAAAUUUUU